This 253-nucleotide ribosomal RNA is filed under the name uncultured bacterium. RNAcentral describes it as "partial 16S ribosomal RNA". It matches the Rfam family "Archaeal small subunit ribosomal RNA", at positions 474 to 727 of the family's 1478-position model. The record is from RNAcentral.
UACCAGCACCCCGAGUGGUCGGGACGAUUAUUGGGCCUAAAGCAUCCGUAGCCGGUCCUACAAGUCUUCCGUUAAAUCCACCUGCUCAACAGAUGGGCUGCGGAAGAUACUAUAGGGCUAGGAGGCGGGAGAGGCAAGCGGUACUCAGUGGGUAGGGGUAAAAUCCUCUGAUCCAUUGAGGACCACCAGUGGCGAAGGCGGCUUGCCAGAACGCGCUCGACGGUGAGGGAUGAAAGCUGGGGGAGCAAACCGG